Long non-coding RNA from Hemicordylus capensis (graceful crag lizard), 1067 nucleotides. RefSeq lists it as uncharacterized. The transcript is spliced from 6 exons. NCBI's taxonomy places the organism in Eukaryota, Metazoa, Chordata, Lepidosauria, Squamata, Cordylidae. The record is from RefSeq and is a predicted model, not a curated record.
GAAGAAUCCAAUUACAAUUUUGGUUAGAGAGCAGGUAGGCUGGCUGACUGUCGGGGGCAAAGGUUCUGUACAACCAUAAAAUCAGAGCCUGUCCACAAGUUGUCAAUCUAAAUGGACAAACACAUAAGGUGUGUCUGCGGAGCAGCUGCAGGAGGGCUUUGUUUUAAAGGUAUACAAUGUUAACCAUUCAAGAAAAAACAUUAUUGGUUAUGAGGGUCAAUAAUUUAGCCUAAAGAAAAAGCACAGAGUCUGACUGAAAAACUAGGAGAAGGAGUCGAAAGCUUGAACUCAAACCCAAUUGUGGACUUGAAAUUAAACUCAAGUAAACAACUGUCAGCUGGUGUAUUUUUAUAAAAAGCUAAUUCGGUCAGACUCACCCAUGUGUCUGUGAUAGGUCUGAUUUAAGAACGAUACAACAGCUCUAAAAAAGAAAGAAAGAGGAAGGAAAUACCAGAGAAACAUGACACCAAACUCCAACCCUGACUUGCAUGACAGCUAUGAAGAAAAAUAGGGGCCUGGGCAAUGUGCAUGAGUGAAGAAAUUAUGUGAAAUCCCACCAUGUUGUACAAAAGGACUGCUUUAUGAAUGUUAAACAGUAUAUACAAUCAGCAUGGACUUCUAGAAGCUUCUGUGAUGCCUUAAAGUUUAAGGAUGAUUAUAUAACCACAGAAGCAAGUUUAAGGUCUGAAGUGAAAAGAAACAGGAAAGCAGUGCUUAUGGAUGAUGACUAGCAGGACAAUUGAGGAUUUUCAGAAAAGAUCAAAAAUCAAUGAAAUCCCUGUGCUUUCUUUUGGAGCUUUGUAAAGUCAGUACCCAAGCCCUCUGACAUCUGGAACUCACUUGAAGAAUUACAAAAAAUGCAUCCAUCGUUUUCAAAAGUGAGUUACAAUCACUUCAAAAUAAUCUCCACGAUCUAGGCUCUUCACUCACAAUUUGUACUCCCCUUUCAGGUGUCUACAAACAAAUGGAAACACAGUUUCUCAUUCUCAGGCUGUAAGAACUGCCAUAUGCAUAGACUGCCCACAGUUGUGUUUGUCCUUUUGUGUUGUGAAACUUGAAUAAAAAGU